This is a long non-coding RNA of Populus trichocarpa (black cottonwood), 836 nucleotides long. RefSeq lists it as uncharacterized. Lineage: Eukaryota; Viridiplantae; Streptophyta; Magnoliopsida; Malpighiales; Salicaceae. The transcript is spliced from 2 exons. The record is from RefSeq and is a predicted model, not a curated record.
AAUUACCCAUAAAUUUCACAUACAAGACAAAUUAAAAGAUAUAAAUUCGCAAGGGAAUUUUAGGGCGUUACAAGACACGUCAUAAAAACCGAAUAUAUCCACGUAUCAGUCAACACAUGCCAACAACACACAUGCAAAAUCACAUCCAAGAAAAUCAUCAAUGAACGGGGAAGUACAUCUAUGCGGAUAAAAUCAACAGCACAUCACAAGUUAAUCAAAACAAAUAAAUCAAUAUGUUGAGGUUUGAAAUUGACAUUUAGAGAGUCGCUAGAGUGGUUGCGAAGCUGCUGGAAUGGCGGUGAUAGUUAUGGACAAUGUUGGCCAGGAUUCACGUGCUGCCACCACUGCUAGUGCAUGAAAACACGUGUUGUCGCUAUUAGGGGUGCAUCUUUAGGCAGAUCUAAAGCACCUCCUCUUCCUCUUUCUUCCUAUGUCGGCAGUGUUUCACAACGCUACUUGAGAGGAGAGAUCUAGCUAGUCCGUCAUGUAAAUACUGGAAAUCAAGUGGUUGACGGUGGUGCAUGGUUUGGUGGUGGAGAAAGAGGGAAAAGAGGGUUGUUUUGUUGGAUGUACAGGAGAUUUGGCCGGAAAUCACCCAGGUUGCAAGAGAGAGAGGGUCGAGCCCCAUUUCUUCUUCUUUUUUUCCAGAAAGAGUUAUUCUUCUUCUUCUUUUUCUUUGCUCUUGUUUUUUCUUCUCCUGAAUUUUUGUUUUUUGGUCUUUCUUUAUAUGUUUUUCCUAUCUCUGGUUUUCUCUCUGGUCUCUUAGUGUGUUCUUUGUUUUCACGUGAAUUCUUCUUAAUGUGAUCAACUUGUGAGUUCGGGGCGAAUUUCAAUAA